Molecule: long non-coding RNA, 1761 nt
Organism: Vulpes vulpes (red fox)
Lineage: Eukaryota; Metazoa; Chordata; Mammalia; Carnivora; Canidae
Source: Ensembl
UAAAAGAAGAAUAUGUUUGUUUACAUCUCACUAAUAUGCCAAUGUUUAGGUAGUUAUGUUUACUCCUGUUUGCCACAGGUAAACUGGAUAGAACAUAAGACAGCUCAUUAUAGAGACAAGUAUGCCCCAUUCCCAAAGUUGGAUGACAGAACAAGUCAUGACCUUCUGUGGAGGAAAAUGAGAUCCCGAGUGAAGUCUACAAUGUCAUUGACUCUGAAGAAGGACUCAGAGACCCAUUGGUGUUUAAUGACCCUUACUGGCCUAUGCAAUGGGAACUGCUGUGGAGGAUGGUUGGUGGAGCAGCAUGGAAGUAUCAUGGAAUUCCGUAUGCCUGCAGCAGCAGGGAGGCAUUUCCGGGUAGGUCUCCAUCUGGAGAUCAUGCUUUUUACAACUAAAAGCCUUAAUGAUCUCUAUUCCUCUUUUCUCAUAUCACCAUCACCAAAAAGUAAAGAUGUGCAGGGCAAGUGGCAAGUAGAGGCCAAAGAGAAAGGAGCGGUUAUAGCUGGCAUUAAGCAAAAAUAAACUGAAGAGAAUGAGACCUCUGUAAUUUUCAGCACUGCAUUCACCUUGAUCUCUCCUGCCUGCCAUUUCAGUGACACUGACAGACCUUCUUUUAUCAUGUAGGACGUGACAGGUCCAAUUUUAGGUACUGACUGAAGGUUGUCCUCAAACAGGUCGCUACCUACUCUCAUAUUAAGUAGUGAUUGCAUGACCUUGGAUUGCAGCUCUUUCCUGUUUAUGGGGUUUAUUCUUACAGCGAUGACUCAGGUGGGUCUGUCAUUUGUGGAUAUUCCUCUCCACUCUACUCUUGAUUUCUUGUCCAUAUCCCUCAUUAUGGAGACAUCCAUAGCUUCUGGCAUCUGUUCCCCUCUUUGGUGGAUUGCAGAGCUGAUGAACCUGAUCUGACUCUUUGGUCUUUCUACUAAAGAAGUGAAACAGACAGGUUUAGCAGGUACAUAAAAGUAACAAUAGUGAGAACAAAAAGUUUUAAUUGGCCAAAAUUUAGUCAGAACUUUGAGCAAUUGCAAAACAAAAAACAAAAACAAACAAACAAACAAACAAAAAAACCAGAAAACAAAAAAAAAAAAACCAAAAAGCUCUGCAAUUUAUGUAAUACUUAACUACCCAGUAGAACCUAUUCAUGGGGACCAGACACAGCAAGGAAUAGAGAGAAUGAAUGAAAAACAAAGCAUAAGUAGAUUCUCCAGUCUAAUAUGGCAUUUCCCUUGACCUAUGAAGGUCCACAACAUGAGCAGCUGAAUCUCUGAAUCUCUGUGUAAAAAUCUCUGAUAAUUCUUUGAACAAUUUAUGUAAUACUUAACUACCCAGUAGAACCUAUUCAUGGGGACCAGACACAGCAAGGAAUAGAGCAAAUGAAUGAAAAACAAAGCAUAAGUAGAUUCUCCAGUCUAAUAUGGCAUUUCCCUUGACCUAUGAAGGUCCACAACAUGAGCAGCUGAAUCUCUGAAUCUCUGUGUAAAAAUCUCUGAUAAUUCUUUGAAGGUUAGGUGCCAAAUUGUAUUCACCCACAUCUCAUUUGGCAAACAGACCUGAUCACUGUUGUCCUUUUUCAUUCUCUCAUCACUGAUGGACUCUUCUCGUCCCAAUAAUUCCUUUGACACUCCAAGAAAUUCUACCCUGAAUAUGCUACUGUGGGUCAAGCAUUGCCUGUACCCCUGAUGAUUACUACUAUGAAUGGUUUACCUAGAGGGCAACAUCUAAGCAAAACAACAGAAUAAUAAACUAAAGAAAACAAAGGCA